RNAcentral lists this long non-coding RNA (837 nucleotides) under Nicotiana tabacum (common tobacco). RNAcentral describes it as "long non-coding RNA (NTAB_LNC016638)". Lineage: Eukaryota; Viridiplantae; Streptophyta; Magnoliopsida; Solanales; Solanaceae. The record is from RNAcentral.
CCUGUUAUAAUAGCCAACAUAAAACAAAGAUUUAAAUUACAUGUGGUAAAAUCAACCCAUUUUUUAGUAAUCCGCCCAAUUUUAAACCGUUUAGGUCAUGACCUAUUUGUUGACUUGAUCUAACAGGUUAAAUUUGAAAUGAUCCAUCAAAUUAUUAGGUCAAAAUGUAACCCGAACCUAAACAAACAAAUUUGGAAGAAUUUAAGCAAAUGAUUUGUAAAAAAAAUAUAUUCGCUUUUACAACUUCUUUCAAUAAGGAGGUAAGAUUGUCUCGUGUUGGACGGAUUGAGUAUGACAAUGACCCGUUAUUCACCCAUCUUAAGAAAAAGGGUAGUCUGAUUCACUAAGCUCCCGCUAUGCGUGAGGUCCGAGAAAGAGCGGUACCCAAGAGUUUAUUGUAUGCAACCUUACCCUGCAUUUCUGCAAGAGGCUGUUUCCACAAUGUACUAAUUAACCAGUUUAGACCUGCCCAAGUUUGACUCGUCCAUUUGCCAUCUCCAAUUUAAAGCAACAUACCAUAUACAAUCUCCAUUCAACAAAUAAAAAACCACUGAAUUAUACACACCUGAAUCUCCUGAGGCUGGCUGCUAAGUACAAACAAAUCAGCACCAAGAUGUUGAAGAGCUUCAUCUUUUUUACCAAUAGAGGUACUAAUAACUGUGACUUUAGCUCCAAAAGCCUUAGCAAAUUUCACAGCCAUAUGACCAAGACCACCAAGACCAACAACACCAAUAUGCAUUCCAGGCUUAUCUAGUCCAAAAUAUUUCAUUGGACUAUAAGUUGUGAUCCCAGCACACAGUAAAGGAGCUGCUUCCAUUGGCAAAUUCUCAGGCCAAU